UACGUAGGGGGCAAGCGUUGUCCGGAUUUAUUGGGCGUAAAGAGCUCGUAGGUGGUUCGGUAAGUCGGAUGUGAAAUCUCCAGGCUCAACCUGGAGGGGUCAUUCGAUACUGCCGUGACUAGAGGUCGGUAGGGGAGUGUGGAAUUCCUGGUGGAGCGGUGAAAUGCGCAGAUAUCAGGAGGAACACCGGUGGCGAAGGCGGAUCUCUGGGCCUUGCCUGACGCUGAGGCGCGAAAGCUAGGGGAGCGAACAGG
This 254-nucleotide ribosomal RNA is filed under the name uncultured bacterium. RNAcentral's name for it is "partial 16S ribosomal RNA". It matches the Rfam family "Bacterial small subunit ribosomal RNA", at positions 524 to 776 of the family's 1533-position model. The record is from RNAcentral.